This is a long non-coding RNA of Oncorhynchus keta (chum salmon), 894 nucleotides long. RefSeq lists it as uncharacterized. The transcript is spliced from 3 exons. Lineage: Eukaryota; Metazoa; Chordata; Actinopteri; Salmoniformes; Salmonidae. The record is from RefSeq and is a predicted model, not a curated record.
GACAGGUCCAGAGCCAGGAGAGGGGACAGGUCCAGAGCCAGUAGAGGGGACAGGUCCAGAGCCAGUAGAGGGGACAGGUCCAGAGCCAGCAGAGGGGACAGGUCCAGGGUUCAGCCAGUAGAGGGGACAGGUCCAGGAUUCAGCCAGUAGAGGGGACAGGUCCAGGAUUCAGCCAGUAGAGGGGACAGGUCCAGGGUUCAGCCAGUAGAGGGGACAGGUCCAGGGUUCAGCCAGUAGAGGGGACAGGUCCAGGGUUCAGCCAGCAGAGGGGACAGGUCCAGGGUUCAGCCAGCAGAGGGGACAGGUCCAGGGUUCAGCCAGCAGAGGGGACAGGUCCAGGGUUCAGCCAGCAGAGGGGACAGGUCCAGGGUUCAGCCAGCAGAGGGGACAGGUCCAGGGUUCAGCCAGUAGAGGGGACAGGUCCAGGGUUCAGCCAGUAGAGGGGACAGGUCCAGGGUUCAGCCAGUAGAGGGGACAGGUCCAGGGUUCAGCCAGUAGAGGGGACAGGUCCAGGGUUCAGCCAGUAGAGGGGACAGGUCCAGGGUUCAGCCAGUAGAGGGGACAGGUCCAGGGUUCAGCCAGUAGAGGGGACAGGUCCAGGGUUCAGCCAGUAGAGGGGACAGGUCCAUAGCCAGUAGAGGGGACAGGUCCAUAGCCAGCAGAGGGGACAGGUCCAUAGCCAGCAGAGGGGACAGGUCCAGGAUUCAGCCAGCAGAGCGGACAGGUCCAGAGCCAGGAGAGGGGGACAGGUCCAGAGCCAGUAGAUGGGACAGGUCCAGAGCCAGGAGAGGGGACAGGUCCAUAGCCAGCAGAGGGGACAUGUCCAGGGUUCAGCCAGUAGAGGGGACAGGUCCAGGAUUCAGCCAGUAGAGGGGACAGGUCCAGGGUUCAGCC